Molecule: ribosomal RNA, 322 nt
Filed under: uncultured eukaryote
Lineage: Eukaryota
Description: partial 18S ribosomal RNA
Rfam family: Eukaryotic small subunit ribosomal RNA
Source: RNAcentral
CCCUUAGAUGUUCUGGGCUGCACGCGCGCUACACUGAUGCGCUCAACGAGUUUAUGACCUUGCCUGGAAAGGUUGGGUAAUCUUAUUAAAACGCAUCGUGAUGGGGAUAGAUUAUUGCAAUUAUUAAUCUUCAACGAGGAAUUCCUAGUAAGCGCGAGUCAUCAGCUCGUGCUGAUUACGUCCCUGCCCUUUGUACACACCGCCCGCCGCACCUACCGAUUGAAUGGUCCGGUGAAAUCUCGGGACGGCGGCUUGGUCGCUUGCGUCCGACUGCUGAAACUUGAUUAAACCAUAUCAUUUAGAGGAAGGUGAAGUCGUANCA